AAUAAGAUCAUUUUCAGUUUUUCGUUACAAUAUUUUGACUCUUCGUCUUAUUUGAAUUUUUUUACGAUUAAUAUUUUAUUCUUACUAGAUGAUCAUGAAUAGUACUUUAUAUGUGACUAAUUUUUUUAAGUUUUUGUACAAAUUUUUCAAAUAAGACGAAUGAUCAAACGUUGGACACAUAAAA
This 184-nucleotide microRNA precursor is filed under the name Oryza brachyantha (malo sina). RNAcentral's name for it is "MIR812 microRNA precursor family". It matches the Rfam family "MIR812 microRNA precursor family". Lineage: Eukaryota; Viridiplantae; Streptophyta; Magnoliopsida; Poales; Poaceae. The record is from Rfam by way of RNAcentral.